GGAUGUUGAAAUAGCCGUUGGAAUAGAAAUUUAGAUUGAGGAAUUAGGGAUUUGUCUUGGGGUUUGAUGUCUUUACGGGAAGACGCGCGUGUUGUUAGAGUUUGGACUUGUUUGUGAAUACUUACUUGGGUUUGAUGUCUUUACAGGUCUGGAGUGGAUCUGGCUCGUGCGAACCUUAUUCUCAACCUCAAAUCUUAUAAUUUCUUGCUGAAUAUAAACGAUGAGGCAGUUAUUGGAAAUAGUUGUUAGGGAUUCCAUUGCCCAACACGAACAUGGCUCGAAGGCUUGGAC
This 291-nucleotide long non-coding RNA is filed under the name Salvia miltiorrhiza (redroot sage). Its description in RNAcentral is "long non-coding RNA (SMIL_LNC013018)". The record is from RNAcentral. Lineage: Eukaryota; Viridiplantae; Streptophyta; Magnoliopsida; Lamiales; Lamiaceae.